This 248-nucleotide ribosomal RNA is filed under the name uncultured Muribaculaceae bacterium. Its description in RNAcentral is "partial 16S ribosomal RNA". It matches the Rfam family "Bacterial small subunit ribosomal RNA", at positions 524 to 772 of the family's 1533-position model. The record is from RNAcentral. Lineage: Bacteria; Pseudomonadati; Bacteroidota; Bacteroidia; Bacteroidales; Muribaculaceae.
UACGUAGGUCCCGAGCGUUGUCCGGAUUUAUUGGGCGUAAAGCGAGCGCAGGUGGUUUCUUAAGUCUGAUGUAAAAGGCAGUGGCUCAACCAUUGUGUGCAUUGGAAACUGGGGAACUUGAGUGCAGGAGAGGGGAGUGGAAUUCCAUGUGUAGCGGUGAAAUGCGUAGAUAUAUGGAGGAACACCGGAGGCGAAAGCGGCUCUCUGGCCUGUAACUGACACUGAGGCUCGAAAGCGUGGGGAGCAAA